AGGACGAACGCUGGCGGCGUGCUUAACACAUGCAAGUCGAACGAGAAUCUGUGGAAAGAGGAUUCGUCCAAUUGAAGCAGAGGACAGUGGCGGACGGGUGAGUAACGCGUGAGGAACCUGCCUUUCAGAGGGGGACAACAGUUGGAAACGACUGCUAAUACCGCAUAACAUAUAGAUGUCGCAUGGCAUUUAUAUCAAAGAUUUAUCGCUGAAAGAUGGCCUCGCGUCUGAUUAGCUAGUUGGUGAGGUAACGGCCCACCAAGGCGACGAUCAGUAGCCGGACUGAGAGGUUGAACGGCCACAUUGGGACUGAGAUACGGCCCAGACUCCUACGGGAGGCAGCAGUGGGGAAUAUUGGGCAAUGGGCGCAAGCCUGACCCAGCAACGCCGCGUGAAGGAAGAAGGCUUUCGGGUUGUAAACUUCUUUUGUCAGGGACGAGUAGAAGACGGUACCUGACGAAUAAGCCACGGCUAACUACGUG
RNAcentral lists this ribosomal RNA (482 nucleotides) under uncultured bacterium. RNAcentral's name for it is "bacterial SSU rRNA". It matches the Rfam family "Bacterial small subunit ribosomal RNA", at positions 26 to 507 of the family's 1533-position model. The record is from RNAcentral.